This 254-nucleotide ribosomal RNA is filed under the name uncultured bacterium. RNAcentral's name for it is "partial 16S ribosomal RNA". It matches the Rfam family "Archaeal small subunit ribosomal RNA", at positions 474 to 727 of the family's 1478-position model. The record is from RNAcentral.
UCCCAGCAGUCCAAGUCGCAGCCACAUUUGUUGGGUCUAAAACAUCCGUAGCUCGCCUAGUAAGUUCUUGGUGAAAUCGGGCCUCUUAAGGGUCCGGCGUGCCUAGAAUACUGCUUGGCUAGGGACCGGGAGGCGUAAGAAGUAUGAUGGGGGUAGCGGUAAAAUGUGUUGAUCCCCAUUAGACUAACAGUCGCGAAGGCGUCUUACGAGAACGGUUCCGACAGUGAGGGAUGAAGGCUAGGGGCGCAAAGUGG